RNAcentral lists this unclassified non-coding RNA (256 nucleotides) under Hevea brasiliensis (rubber tree). The record is from RNAcentral. Lineage: Eukaryota; Viridiplantae; Streptophyta; Magnoliopsida; Malpighiales; Euphorbiaceae.
GAAGCUGCGAAUUCCUUGUCCUUGCCCAUCGGCUUCACUUAUCUAUCCUCACUUUUUGGGUGCAAUAUUAUAACUGGAAAAGAGUAUACGGUUUCUUUUUCUUGUUGCAGAGUUAGUAGUGGAGUGUUUGGUACGGAAUAGUACACACACUACGCAUCGCGAAUUCCAUCUCCUUUACUAGCAAUCCAUUUUAGCCCCCGAAACUUUCCACCUCUGCAUUCGAUUUAUUUAUUUAUUUUCCUUGGAGAAUUUUUUU